GUGCUCGCUUUGGCACACGUAUACUAAAACUGGAACGAUACAGAGGAUUAGCAUGGGCCCUGCACAAGGAUGACACACAAGCUCCUGAAGCAUUCCGUAAAAAA
Molecule: small nuclear RNA, 104 nt
Filed under: Castor canadensis (American beaver)
Lineage: Eukaryota; Metazoa; Chordata; Mammalia; Rodentia; Castoridae
Source: RNAcentral